AAGAAGGAAAAAUCCUAAAACAGCAACCAAUUCAUGAUCAAAGUCAAGCUAUUUCAACAACAAAGGGAUCCCAAUUGGUCCCAUAUCCAAAAUAUGUACACAUUUCAAUCUAUGCAACAUGUAAGGCAAAGUGAACAACCAUGGAUCAUAUAAGAGCAACCAGCAAGAUCAAAUCCAAAAAAAUAUCAAAACAACACAGUAAAUUCCACAAAAAUUAUAUCCUAAACAGGGGACAUUCAACUAGCUACAUGUCAAUUUUUAUGCCAUUUG
RNAcentral lists this long non-coding RNA (270 nucleotides) under Lathyrus oleraceus (garden pea). Its description in RNAcentral is "Pisum sativum (pea) long non-coding RNA (PSAT_LNC039462)". Lineage: Eukaryota; Viridiplantae; Streptophyta; Magnoliopsida; Fabales; Fabaceae. The record is from RNAcentral.